CGCGUGGGAAUCUACCCUUAGGUGCGGAAUAACUCAGAGAAAUUUGGGCUAAUACCGCAUAAUGACUCCGGUCCAAAGAUUUAUCGCCUAAGGAUGAGCCCGCGUAAGAUUAGCUAGUUGGUGAGGUAAUGGCUCACCAAGGCGACGAUCUAUAGCUGGUUUGAGAAGAUGAUCAGCCACAUUGGGACUGAGACACGGCCCAGACUCCUACGGGAGGCAGCAGUGGGGAAUAUUGUACAAUGGGCGCAAGCCUGAUACAGCAAUGCCGCGUGAGUGAAGAAGGCCUUAGGGUUGUAAAAC
This 300-nucleotide ribosomal RNA is filed under the name uncultured Sphingomonadaceae bacterium. RNAcentral's name for it is "bacterial SSU rRNA". It matches the Rfam family "Bacterial small subunit ribosomal RNA", at positions 114 to 431 of the family's 1533-position model. Lineage: Bacteria; Pseudomonadati; Pseudomonadota; Alphaproteobacteria; Sphingomonadales; Sphingomonadaceae. The record is from RNAcentral.